This 253-nucleotide ribosomal RNA is filed under the name uncultured bacterium. RNAcentral describes it as "partial 16S ribosomal RNA". It matches the Rfam family "Bacterial small subunit ribosomal RNA", at positions 524 to 776 of the family's 1533-position model. The record is from RNAcentral.
UACGUAGGGUGCGAGCGUUAAUCGGAAUUACUGGGCGUAAAGCGUGCGCAGGCGGUUUUGUAAGCCAGAUGUGAAAUCCCCAAGCUUAACUUGGGAACUGCAUCCGAUACUGGAUGGCUUGAAUCCGGGAGAGGGAUGCAGAAUUCCAGGUGUAGCGGUGAAAUGCGUAGAUAUCUGGAGGAAUACCGGUGGCGAAGGCGGCAUCCUGGACCGGCAUUGACGCUGAGGAGCGAAAGCUAGGGGAGCAAACGGG